AUGGCCGCCGACUCCGCCGCCCGCUGCCCGUGGGACGAGCUCCCGGCGCACCUCCAGGAGCGCAUCCUCUCCCGCCUGCCGCUCACCGCGCUCGUCCCCGUCGCCGCCGUCUCCCGGGCGCUGCGCCGCCUCCUGCGCUCCCCGGCCUUCCACGCCCUCCUCUCCCAGCACCGCCUCGACGCCUUCUUCCUCCUCUCGCCGCGCCUCGCCUUCCACCCGCUCUCCCGGCGCCUCCUCCAGGUGCCCCCCUCGCCCCCGCUCGAUCCAUCUUGCCCUCCCCUCAUCUCCUCCGCCUCCCCCUCCUUCCUUGUCACCGCCGACUCGCUCCUCCGCCUCCCAGCGCUCCCCGACCGCUCCUACCUCAUCGCUGUCGUCGUCCCACCCUCACCCUCCUCCUCCAGCCGGGAUUACACCCUCGUCGCCGUCACCACCAACGGCGCCGCUGUCCGCUCGUAUUCCCUGGACUCCGCCGAUCCCUCCCCACGGUGGGUACCUGGGGCCGAGCUCCCGCUACCAUUUGCGAUCCUUGGCAAUGCUGCGGUCGCCAGUGACCGUGCUCGGCUCUUUGUGCUCGGCCGGGGUCCGGACGCACUUCUGGUGCUUGAUCUCGAGACCAGGAAGUGGGCUGCUCCGCCAGUUGUGAUGCCGCACGGCCUUACAACGGCGCACCUGUUUGUUCUCGAUGAUCGGCUGUUCUUGGUCGGUGGGGUGGAGAGGCUCGGGGUGCUGGAGCGGGUGGUGGUGUGGCAGUUGGACAACGACGAGGCAGUGGGAUGGGUGGAGGUAGCCGCAAUGCCGCCGGAGGUGUUCGAUGAGUUGGUGGCUGGUAGGCAUGGCAGUUUCUGGCACUUUCAGGCUGCGGACAGAAUGGGGACUCUUUGUCUGUACAAUGCUUUAGAUGGGAGGCUGGUGAUGUUUGAUGCGGUGGAUUGUGUAUGGACGAUGAUGCCACGAGUGUCUGGGUUAGGAGCCGGGGAGAGCCAAAUGUGGUUUGGGCAUGUCUUGGAGCCAGGCGUCGGCCUCUUGCUGGGACAACGCAGCCCGUGUUCAUGA
RNAcentral lists this ribosomal RNA (1053 nucleotides) under Triticum aestivum (bread wheat). RNAcentral describes it as "partial small subunit ribosomal RNA". The record is from RNAcentral. Lineage: Eukaryota; Viridiplantae; Streptophyta; Magnoliopsida; Poales; Poaceae.